CAUUGGACACGGGCCGCCCGUC
Molecule: non-coding RNA, 22 nt
Filed under: Arabidopsis thaliana (thale cress)
Lineage: Eukaryota; Viridiplantae; Streptophyta; Magnoliopsida; Brassicales; Brassicaceae
Source: RNAcentral